GAAUAACAUAAAUAAGCUUCAUAAUAUAUUAUGUACCAUGAAUGAAUGAAAAAACGUCUUUUACAGCCUUCACAUUUUUUUUGCAAGACCCAUUAUUCUAAAACCGCAACUGUCUGAAAUUUAUCCCAUUGGACCAAAAGCCCAUGGUCCGACGGUCCGUUGUCCCAAAAACCAAAGUCCAUUAUUAUGCAGAGUGAAGUCAUCGGACACAAUAUUUUUGAGACAUGGGAGACGUUUAUCUAUUUAGCCCAAACCAUCUUUUCCUCAACCUAACUGAUUAGUUAAGUUCCAUAAACAGCUUUUGCACUGCAGGGGCUUGCAAAGAACCACUGUGUCUUUGGACAAUCGUUGGAGAAGGCUUAAUUUAACAAUGGUUUUCUCCAUUAAAAUGACGACUGUGCCACUUGAUAAUUGACUGAUACUGACUGCAACAAAAAUAAGAGAUAAAAUAAAUUCAUAAAUGAAUACUUUUGUUCUUCUUAUAUUUGAUUAUGAUUACAUUCAAUUUUGACAUAUAAUUACAUGUUUUAAUAUAUGUUUAAUGUAUUUUCAAUUCUUUGCAGUAAAAUUGUAGCCAGAGCCAGAAACAUGUGCUCAAAAUAGGAUAGCUAAAUCAGUAAAUCUUCUAAAAGAAGGUCAAGAGGUGCAAGGGAUCAAUACCAUUGAAUCAACCCAGAGCAUGAGAGGAAGGGAGGGAUGAGAUGGAGUGAUAGAGCAGGAAGGGCAGCAGUAGCGUUGAAAUGGAGAGCAGAGUAGGUGGGACACAAUUUCCCAACAGGACAAAAAGGCGCUGGGGCCUUCGAUUAGCCCCAGCUGUGGUCAAUAGUGGUUCGAUGGAGCUCUCUGAGGGAUAGACAGUGAACGGUAUUUGUAGGGCAAGAGUAAGAGAUGUCAAGCAGUGUUUUUAUGAGUGUGUGUGUCUAUGUGCGUGAUGUUAUAUGUGCUAUACAAAAUAAAUGGCUUUGUUUUGCCAUGUGGUGUGUAAUGGCACGUUUCCACCGAACGGUAUGGUACGGUACGGGUCGGGUCGGUACGGGUCGGUCUGUUAACCAUGAUUUGGUUAACAGACCCGUGAUAACGUCACUUGAUAGGCGUGGUAUAUGACGGAAAGUAGAUUGACGUCAUUCGAUCGCACGAAAACUGAAAGCUACAUACAGGACAUACAGCCGAUCCUGUUCUUGCUUCUCGAUAUGUGGCUGUUUGCCACAAGGAGACGCCAAUCUUUGUUUGAGCAAAGGCUACAUGCUGCAAGUGUGUUACGUGUGUUGUCUUUCCCCUUGCGGGACGCGCAAAUGAUGACACUCUUUCAACCAAUCAACGUUCUGCAGUGAGUCUAGCUCCACAUUUUAGUACCAAACAACUGUGAAAAUAACAUGCUAGAAGGGAAUGGAAAGCCCAAUAAUUAAUUAUUACCAUCAUCAAAAGGGACUAUUGGUAUGAAAUCUGGUAGAAAUAUUGGUAGAAAAUCGAAUGGAAGACGACGCAUAAUCAAAAUACACAUAUUCAAUACUUGAUUGGUCGAGUACAAUUAGCUGUGAUGGUUUACGAUUCAUAAUAGGUUGAUGUACAUAAUAGAAAAACUGCUCCGCCCUAAAUGUUACAUUCUUUUACAUCUAUUGGUCAUAAGUCCAGGGUCCAGAUACAACAGCAUCUGGGGUUUGCUCUUAGGGUUUUGUCAAUGACUUUGCACUGAUCCACCUUCCUUCUGUCCUUCACGCAAUUCCACACAGCCCAUCUGUUGCCAGCAAUACCAGAAGAGAAAAGAAAAGUUGAAGAACUUUGUUCCAGGACAAAGGAUAUGUUUGUGUUUUCUCAGAUGGUGAUGGUGCAGUGUUUUCUUUUUUUGCAAUGGCACAAUAUUGGCUGUGCAAACAACUGGGAAGAACAAAGUAUGGCAAAAUACAAAAGAGAAAGACAAAGCUGGGGUGUAAAGGGAGACAGCGGGUGAUGUUGGGGAUAUACUGUAUAUAUUUACCUGCCAGCGGGAGUACUCUGGCUCAAUCUCUAUACUGUGUCUUUCAUGCCUCCUCUUUUUGCUGAGAAGUCAAGAAAGGAGGAAUUCACAGCAGCAUCAACCUGAUGCAGCCAUGUGUAUGUUGAACUCCUCUUCAUUAAUGAAGGAGAUAAAGAAAAAGAAAAUGCAGGUCGCUUUUGUCGGCGCCAGGGUGGGUCCAGUGCGGCCUCACCUCAAUU
Gasterosteus aculeatus aculeatus (three-spined stickleback) is the source of this 2193-nucleotide long non-coding RNA. The record is from Ensembl. NCBI's taxonomy places the organism in Eukaryota, Metazoa, Chordata, Actinopteri, Perciformes, Gasterosteidae.